This 335-nucleotide ribosomal RNA is filed under the name uncultured Anaerolineaceae bacterium. Its description in RNAcentral is "bacterial SSU rRNA". It matches the Rfam family "Bacterial small subunit ribosomal RNA", at positions 1034 to 1382 of the family's 1533-position model. Lineage: Bacteria; Bacillati; Chloroflexota; Anaerolineae; Anaerolineales; Anaerolineaceae. The record is from RNAcentral.
ACAGGUGCUGCAUGGCUGUCGUCAGCUCGUGUCGUGAGAUGUUCGGUUAAGUCCGCUAACGAGCGCAACCCUCGCUGUGUGUUACAAGUGUCACACGGAACUGCCGGUCAUAAACCGGAGGAAGGUGGGAUGACGUCAAGUCGGCAUGGCCUUUAUAUCCUGGGCUACACACACGCUACAAUGGGAAGGGACAAUAGGUUGCGAAGCCGCGAGGCGGAGCCAAUCCAGCAAAACUUCCCUCAGUUCAGAUUGCAGGCUGCAACUCGCCUGCAUGAAGUUGGAGUUGCUAGUAAACGCAGGUCAGCCAUACUGCGUUGAAUACGUUCCCGGGGCUU